GGAGCUCAGUGGUAUGGCAUCUGCCUUGCAUGCAGAAGGUCCCAGGUUCAAUCGCUGGCAUCUCCA
Podarcis lilfordi (Lilford's wall lizard) is the source of this 66-nucleotide non-coding RNA. The record is from the annotation of a GenBank genome assembly. Lineage: Eukaryota; Metazoa; Chordata; Lepidosauria; Squamata; Lacertidae.